RNAcentral lists this small nucleolar RNA (79 nucleotides) under Chlamydomonas reinhardtii. RNAcentral describes it as "snoRNA SNORD24". It matches the Rfam family "Small nucleolar RNA SNORD24". Rfam says of the family: U24 is a member of the C/D class of snoRNA which contain the C (UGAUGA) and D (CUGA) box motifs. The record is from Rfam by way of RNAcentral. Lineage: Eukaryota; Viridiplantae; Chlorophyta; Chlorophyceae; Chlamydomonadales; Chlamydomonadaceae.
GGCCGAUGAUGUAUCAAUAUAUUUGCUACUCUUGAGCGAGUCUAUGACGACAUUUUAAAUCACCAAGAUCGCUGAGGUC